Molecule: ribosomal RNA, 845 nt
Filed under: Reticulamoeba gemmipara
Lineage: Eukaryota; Cercozoa
Description: partial 18S small subunit ribosomal RNA
Rfam family: Eukaryotic small subunit ribosomal RNA
Source: RNAcentral
GAGGGMAAGYCUGGUGCCAGCAGCCGCGGUAAUUCCAGCUCCAGUAGCGUAUAUUAAAGUUGUUGCAGUUAAAAAGCUCGUAGUUGGAUUUGUGGUGUUUUUUUUUUUAUUUGCUUUUUUUGGUUUUUUGUUUUUCUCUUUUUGAGAUGAAUUUAAGACUUGGAAGCGAGGACACCAUCCUUGACAGGUUUGAAAGUGAUAUUAUAUCACCGCAAACGUUGUCAUCCUUUACUUUGAAAAAAUUGGAGUGAUUCAAGCAGGCAAGAAUUAUAAUUUUAAUUUUAAUUUAACUUUGCUUCUGCACAUGUUAGCAUGGAAUAAUGCAAGAGGACUUGGGUUUUCUCUUUCAUUGGUUUCAGGAAUCCGAGUAAUGAUUGAUAGGGACAGUUGGGGGUGCUCGUACUCGACGGCCAAAGGUGAAAUUCUUGGAUUCGUUGAAGACGAACAACUGCGAAAGCAUUCACCAAGGAUGUCUUCUUUAAUCAAGAACGAAAGUUGGGGGAUCGAAGAUGAUCAGAUACCGUCGUAGUCCCAACCAUAAACGAUGCCGACCAGGGAUCAGCGAGCGUUGACUUGGCGUUCUCCUUAUUUUCUCUCUUUUUGGGAGUAAUAUGUAGAUUUUGCCAACCUCAUUAAUUUGAAACGACCUCGUUGGCACCUUGCGAGAAAUCACCAGUCUUUGGGCUCCGGGGGGAGUAUGGUCGCAAGGCUGAAACUUAAAGGAAUUGACGGAAGGGCACAACCAGCAGUGGAGCCUGCGGCUUAAAUUGACUCAACACGGGGAAACUUACCAGGUCCAGACAUCAUAAGGAUUGACAGAUUGAAGHUCUUUCUUGAUUYKRUGG